Molecule: long non-coding RNA, 103 nt
Organism: Etheostoma spectabile (orangethroat darter)
Lineage: Eukaryota; Metazoa; Chordata; Actinopteri; Perciformes; Percidae
Exons: 3
Source: RefSeq, a predicted model, not a curated record
GACAGUACCUAGGUAAGGACUCCUAGCCAGUCAGAAGCAGAGUAUGAGGGCGUGCCCUGACAGUACCUGAGGUAAGAACUACUAGCCAGUCAGAAGCAGAGUA